UAGGGAAUCUUCCACAAUGGACGCAAGUCUGAUGGAGCAACGCCGCGUGAGUGAAGAAGGUUUUCGGAUCGUAAAGCUCUGUUGUUGGUGAAGAAGGAUAGAGGCAGUAACUGGUCUUUAUUUGACGGUAAUCAACCAGAAAGUCACGGCUAACUACGUGCCAGCAUCCGCGGUAAUACGUAGGUGGCAAGCGUUGUCCGGAUUUAUUGGGCGUAAAGCGAGCGCAGGCGGAAUGAUAAGUCUGAUGUGAAAGCCCACGGCUCAACCGUGGAACUGCAUCGGAAACUGUCAUUCUUGAGUGCAGAAGAGGAGAGUGGAAUUCCAUGUGUAGCGGUGGAAUGCGUAGAUAUAUGGAAGAACACCAGUGGCGAAGGCGGCUCUCUGGUCUGCAACUGACGCUGAGGCUCGAAAGCAUGGGUAGCGAACAGG
This 429-nucleotide ribosomal RNA is filed under the name bacterium. RNAcentral's name for it is "partial 16S ribosomal RNA". It matches the Rfam family "Bacterial small subunit ribosomal RNA", at positions 355 to 776 of the family's 1533-position model. The record is from RNAcentral.